AGUCAAUGAUGAUUCAAAGUAUAAGAGUAGUGGACAGAAGCGAUUUCUGAUUAAUUUUACUCUGAGACU
Molecule: small nucleolar RNA, 69 nt
Organism: Notolabrus celidotus (New Zealand spotty)
Lineage: Eukaryota; Metazoa; Chordata; Actinopteri; Labriformes; Labridae
Product: small nucleolar RNA SNORD75
Exons: 1
Source: RefSeq, a predicted model, not a curated record